RNAcentral lists this ribosomal RNA (225 nucleotides) under uncultured bacterium. Its description in RNAcentral is "partial 16S ribosomal RNA". It matches the Rfam family "Bacterial small subunit ribosomal RNA", at positions 129 to 353 of the family's 1533-position model. The record is from RNAcentral.
CCGAUGACUCGGGGAUAGCCUUUCGAAAGAAAGAUUAAUACCCGAUGGCAUAGUUCUUCCGCAUGGUGGAACUAUUAAAGAAUUUCGGUCAUCGAUGGGGAUGCGUUCCAUUAGGUUGUUGGCGGGGUAACGGCCCACCAAGCCUUCGAUGGAUAGGGGUUCUGAGAGGAAGGUCCCCCACAUUGGAACUGAGACACGGUCCAAACUCCUACGGGAGGCAGCAUG